GAUCCUGGCUCAGGAUGAACGCUAGCUACAGGCUUAACACAUGCAAGUCGAGGGGCAGCAUGGACCCAGCUUUGCUGGGUUUGAUGGCGACCGGCGCACGGGUGAGUAACGCGUAUCCAACCUGCCCUUUACUCCGGGAUAGUCUCCUGAAAGGGAGUUUAAUACCGGAUGUGUUUGUCUUUCCGCAUGGGAGCGACAAAUAAAGAUUAAUUGGUAAAGGAUGGGGAUGCGUCCCAUUAGCUUGUUGGG
This 249-nucleotide ribosomal RNA is filed under the name uncultured bacterium. Its description in RNAcentral is "partial 16S ribosomal RNA". It matches the Rfam family "Bacterial small subunit ribosomal RNA", at positions 15 to 253 of the family's 1533-position model. The record is from RNAcentral.